Molecule: ribosomal RNA, 708 nt
Filed under: uncultured bacterium
Lineage: Bacteria
Description: bacterial SSU rRNA
Rfam family: Bacterial small subunit ribosomal RNA
Source: RNAcentral
UAGAGUUUGAUCAUGGCUCAGAACGUACGCUGGCGGCACGCCUAACACAUGCAAGUCGAACGAAGUAGCAAUACUUAGUGGCAGACGGGUGAGUAACAUGUGGGUAUCUACCCUUUGGCCUGGAAUAACACGAGGAAACUUGUGCUAAUACCGGAUAAGUCUUUACGGAGAAAGCUUUAUGCACCAUUGGAUGAGCCCGCACUUGAUUAGUUUGUUGGUAGGGUAAUGGCCUACCAAGACUAUGAUCAAUAGCUGAUUUGAGAGGAUGAUCAGCCACAUUGGGACUGAGACACGGCCCAAACUCCUACGGGAGGCAGCAGUGGGGAAUCUUGCACAAUGGAGGAAACUCUGAUGCAGCGAUGCCGCGUGAGUGAAGAAGGCCUUUGGGUUGUAAAGCUCUUUCGUCGGGGAAGAAAAUGACUGUACCCGAAUAAGAAGGUCCGGCUAACUUCGUGCCAGCAGCCGCGGUAAUACGAAGGGACCUAGCGUAGUUCGGAAUUACUGGGCUUAAAGAGUUCGUAGGUGGUUGAAAAAGUUGGUGGUGAAAUCCCAGAGCUUAACUCUGGAACUGCCAUCAAAACUUUUCAGCUAGAGUAUGAUAGAGGAAAGCAGAAUUUCUAGUGUAGAGGUGAAAUUCGUAGAUAUUAGAAAGAAUACCAAUUGCGAAGGCAGCUUUCUGGAUCAUUACUGACACUGAGGAACGAAAGC